Molecule: transfer RNA, 70 nt
Filed under: Isothrix sinnamariensis
Lineage: Eukaryota; Metazoa; Chordata; Mammalia; Rodentia; Echimyidae
Description: tRNA-Ala
Rfam family: tRNA
About the family: Transfer RNA (tRNA) molecules are approximately 80 nucleotides in length.
Source: RNAcentral
AAGGGUUUAGCUUAAUUAAAGUGUCUGUUUUGCAUUCAGAUGAUGUAGGUUUAUAAUCUUGCAGUCCUUA